Molecule: ribosomal RNA, 324 nt
Filed under: uncultured bacterium
Lineage: Bacteria
Description: bacterial SSU rRNA
Rfam family: Bacterial small subunit ribosomal RNA
Source: RNAcentral
CCUGGCUCAGGAUGAACGCUAGCGGGAGGCCUAACACAUGCAAGCCGAGCGGUAGAGAUCUUUCGGGAUCUUGAGAGCGGCGUACGGGUGCGGAACACGUGUGUAACCUGCCUUUAUCUGGGGGAUAGCCUUUCGAAAGGAAGAUUAAUACCCCAUAAUAUGUUGGAUGGCAUCAUUCGACAUUGAAAACUCCGGUGGAUAGAGAUGGGCACGCGCAAGAUUAGAUAGUUGGUGAGGUAACGGCUCACCAAGUCUGCGAUCUUUAGGGGGCCUGAGAGGGGGAUCCCCCAAACUGGUGCUGAGACACGGCCCAGACGACGAGGG